CGAAGGGGAAGAGAUGGUCGCUCUUCAUAACGUCUCGUUAACGGGAUGUUAGGGAGGGAGGAAAGUCCGAGCUCCACAGGGCAGGGUGGUCCGUAAUCCGGACUGUUUCGCUCUGUGAAAGAGGCGUAUCUGCCAUUUCACAGAGCGGGGUAAGGAAAGUGCCACAGAAAGGAUACCGCCCUGUGGAAUAGCGGGGAUACCGAUUUCAUGAUGGGAGAUCACAGCUAAAACGGUUCUCCAUUGGGAAACGGGUACUCCAUCCAGUUAUUCCACAGGGUAAGGGUGAAAAGGCGAGGUAAGAGCUCACCAGUAUCCCGAGCGAUCGGGAUAGCUUGGUAAACCCCACCCGGAGCAAGACCGAAUAGGUCCGGCUUCCCCCGCCUUAAGCGGGGAUGAGAAUAGCCCAUUCGAAGUUGCUCCCGACGCGGCAGCACCGGGAACAGAGGCUGGACGGGUAGGUCGCUUGAGGCCCUGAGCAAUCAGGAUCCUAGAUAAAUGACCAUCAUCCUGACCGAUCCCGUACCCGGGAAAGGGACGGAUACAGAACUCGGCUUAUGGUCCCCUUCGAUGA
RNAcentral lists this RNase P RNA (571 nucleotides) under Deltaproteobacteria bacterium RBG_16_47_11. Its description in RNAcentral is "RNase P RNA component class A". It matches the Rfam family "Bacterial RNase P class A". Rfam says of the family: Ribonuclease P (RNase P) is a ubiquitous endoribonuclease, found in archaea, bacteria and eukarya as well as chloroplasts and mitochondria. The record is from RNAcentral. Lineage: Bacteria; Deltaproteobacteria.